RNAcentral lists this ribosomal RNA (358 nucleotides) under uncultured bacterium. Its description in RNAcentral is "bacterial SSU rRNA". It matches the Rfam family "Bacterial small subunit ribosomal RNA", at positions 362 to 737 of the family's 1533-position model. The record is from RNAcentral.
UAUUAGAAAUGGACGAAAGUCUGAUCUAGCAACACCGCGUGUGCGAUGAAGGCCUUCGGGUUGUAAAGCACUUUUUGGAAGGAUUAGGAAGGAAUGUACUUCCAGAAUAAGUCUCGGCUAACUACGUGCCAGCAGCCGCGGUAACACGUAGGAGGCGAACGUUAUCCGGAUUUACUGGGCGUAAAGCGCGUGUAGGUGGUUCUGUAAGUAGGGCAUGAAAGCUCCUGGCUCAACUGGGAGAGGCCGUUCUAAACUGCAGAGCUAGAGGAUGAUAGAGGGAGGUGGAAUUCCGGGUGUAGCGGUGGAAUGCACAGAUAUCCGGAGGAACACCAGUGGCGAAGGCGGCCUCCUGGACCAU